AAUGAACGCUGGCGGCAGGCCUAACACAUGCAAGUCGAACGAGUGGCGGACGGGUUAGUAAUGUCUGGGAAACUGCCUGAUGGAGGGGGAUCACUACGGGAAACGGUAGCUAAUACCGCAUACCCUCGGAUGUGCCCAGAUGGGAGUAGCUAGUCUGUGGGGGAAAGGCUCACCUAGGCGACGCUCCCUAGCUGGUCUGAGAGGAUGACCAGUCACACUGUAAGUGAGACACGGUCCAGACUCCGACGGGAGGCAGCAGUGGGGAAUAUUGCACAAUGGGCGCAAGCCUGAUGCAGCCAUGCCGCGUGUAUGAAGAAGGCCUUCGGGUUGUAAAGUACUUUCAGCGGGGAGGCGUUACCCGCAGAAGAAGCACCGGCUAACUCCGUGCCAGCAGCCGCGGUAAUAC
RNAcentral lists this ribosomal RNA (406 nucleotides) under uncultured bacterium. RNAcentral's name for it is "partial 16S ribosomal RNA". It matches the Rfam family "Bacterial small subunit ribosomal RNA", at positions 29 to 526 of the family's 1533-position model. The record is from RNAcentral.